This 274-nucleotide ribosomal RNA is filed under the name uncultured bacterium. RNAcentral describes it as "partial 16S ribosomal RNA". It matches the Rfam family "Bacterial small subunit ribosomal RNA", at positions 523 to 796 of the family's 1533-position model. The record is from RNAcentral.
AUACGGAGGGUGCAAGCGUUGUUCGGAAUUAUUGGGCGUAAAGAGCAUGUAGGCGGUUCGUUAAGUCUGAUGUGAAAGCCCGGGGCUCAACCCCGGAAGUGCAUUGGAUACUGGCAAACUUGAGUACGGGAGAGGAAAGUGGAAUUUCGAGUGUAGGGGUGAAAUCCGUAGAUAUUCGAAGGAACACCAGUGGCGAAGGCGGCUUUCUGGACCGAUACUGACGCUGAGAUGCGAAAGCGUGGGGAGCAAACAGGAUUAGAUACCCUAGUAGUCC